GACGAACGCUGGCGGCGUGCUUAACACAUGCAAGUCGAACGGUAAGGCCCUGCUUUUGUCGGGUGCUCGAGUGGCGAACGGGUGAGUAACACGUGAGUGACCUGCCCUUGACUUUGGGAUAACUUCAGGAAACUGGGGCUAAUACCGCAUAGGAGCUCCUGCUGCAUGGUGGGGGUGGGAAAGUGUCGGCGGUUGGGGCUGGACGCGCGGCUUAUCAGCUUGUUGGUGGGGUAGCGGCUUACCAAGGCUUUGCCGGGUCGCCGGCCUGAGAGGGUGAACGGGCUCAAGAGUCCUGCGAGACGGCCCAGAGUGCUACGGUGGGCAGCGGUGGGGAGUAUUGCGCAAUGAGCGGAAGUGUGAUGCAGCAACGCCGCGUUCGGAAAGACGGUUUUCGGGUUAUAAACCGCGUUCGCCUGUGACGAAGCGUGAGUGACGUUAAUGGGUAAAGAAGCACCGGCUAACUACGUG
This 468-nucleotide ribosomal RNA is filed under the name uncultured bacterium. RNAcentral describes it as "partial 16S ribosomal RNA". It matches the Rfam family "Bacterial small subunit ribosomal RNA", at positions 28 to 507 of the family's 1533-position model. The record is from RNAcentral.